CCUACGAGGGGCAGCAGUGGGGAAUAUUGCACAAUGGGGGAAACCCUGAUGCAGCAACGCCGCGUGAGUGAGGAAGUAUUUCGGUAUGUAAAGCUCUAUCAGCAGGGAAUAGAAAAGAAGGUACCUGAUAAAGAAGCUUCGGCUAACUACGUGCCAGCAGUCGCGGUAAUACGUAGGGGGCAAGCGUUAGCCGGAUUUACUGGGUGUAAAGGGAGCGUAGACGGGAAGGCAAGUCAGAAGUGAAAGCCCAAGGCUCAACCAUGGGACUGCAUUUGAAACUGUCAAACUAGAGUACGGGAGAGGUGAGAGGAAUUCCUAGUGUAGCGGUGAAAUGCGUAGAUAUAAGGAGGAACACCAGUGGCGAAGGCGUCUUACUGGACCGAAACUGACGUUGAGGCUCGAAAGCGUGGGGAGCAAACAGGAUUAGAUACCCUGGUAGUC
Molecule: ribosomal RNA, 441 nt
Filed under: uncultured bacterium
Lineage: Bacteria
Description: partial 16S ribosomal RNA
Rfam family: Bacterial small subunit ribosomal RNA
Source: RNAcentral